Thalassophryne amazonica is the source of this 441-nucleotide long non-coding RNA. RefSeq lists it as uncharacterized. The record is from RefSeq and is a predicted model, not a curated record. Lineage: Eukaryota; Metazoa; Chordata; Actinopteri; Batrachoidiformes; Batrachoididae. The transcript has 3 exons.
UUGUUUUAAAAAACAAUUGAAAACAAUAAAACAAUAAAUAAAAGCAAACCAUAAAACACUAAAACAAAAACAGAGUCUCAUGCGGAGUUAAAAGCCAGGGAGUAGAAAUGGGUUUUAAGAUUGGUUUUAAAAAUGGACAGUGAGGAGGCUUGUCUAAUGUGCAAUGGUAGCUCAUUCCAUAGUUUUGGAGCAGCAAUGGAAAAAGCUCCGUCCCCACUGAGCUUUUCUUUGGACCUCGGUACCUCCACGAGCAGCAGGUCAGGUGACCUGAGGAACCGAGCAGGAACAUAAUGUUGCAGGAGCUCAGAGAGGUAAGGGGGAGCGAGACCAUUUAAUAACUUAAAAACAAAUAAAAGAAUCUUAAAAUGGACUCUAAAAUGCACAGGCAGCCAGUGGAGGGAGGCCAGGAUGGGAGUUAUGUGGUCCCUUUUACAUGCUCCA